RNAcentral lists this transfer RNA (82 nucleotides) under Pseudomonadota bacterium. Its description in RNAcentral is "tRNA-Leu". It matches the Rfam family "tRNA". From Rfam's summary of the family: Transfer RNA (tRNA) molecules are approximately 80 nucleotides in length. Their secondary structure includes four short double-helical elements and three loops (D, anti-codon, and T loops). The record is from RNAcentral. RNAcentral also lists the same sequence under 2 other names. Lineage: Bacteria; Pseudomonadati; Pseudomonadota.
GCGAGGGUGGCGGAAUUGGUAGACGCACUAGCUUGAGGUGCUAGCGGGUAACACCGUGGGGGUUCGAGUCCCCCCCUUCGCA